AUGCAAGUCGAACGGCAGCACACCCUUUUUGCUCCCGGGUGGCGAGUGGCGCACGGGUGAGUAAUACAUCGGAACGUGUCCUGUUGUGGGGGAUAACUGCUCGAAAGGGUGGCUAAUACCGCAUGAGACCUGAGGGUGAAAGCGGGGGAUCGCAAGACCUCGCGCAAUUGGAGCGGCCGAUGCCCGAUUAGCUAGUUGGUGAGGUAAAGGCUCACCAAGGCGACCAUCGGUAGCUGGUCUGAGAGGACGACCAGCCACACUGGGACUGAGACACGCCCCAGACUCCUACGGGAGGCAGCAGUGGGGAAUUUUGGACAAUGGGGGCAACCCUGAUCCAGCCAUGCCGCGUGCAGGAUGAAGGCCUUCGGGUUGUAAACUGCUUUUGUCAGGGACGAAAAGGACCGUGUUAAUACCAUGGUCUGCUGACGGUACCUGAAGAAUAAGCACCGGCUAACUACGUGCCAGCAGCCGCGGUAAUACGUAGGGUGCAAGCGUUAAUCAGAAUUACUGGACGUAAAGCGUGCGCAGGCGGUUCUGUAAGACAGAUGUGAAAUCCCCGGGCUCAACCUGGGAAUUGCAUAUGUGACUGCAGGACUAGAGUUCAUCAGAGGGGGGUGGAAUUUCCAAGUGUAUCAAUGAAAUGC
Molecule: ribosomal RNA, 644 nt
Filed under: uncultured organism
Description: SSU rRNA
Rfam family: Bacterial small subunit ribosomal RNA
Source: RNAcentral